ACUACGCGGGUCUGCAGUGAGGAAUCUUGGUCAAUGGGCUUACGCCUGAACCAGCCAAGUCGCGUGAGGGAAGACUGCCCUAUGGGUUGUAAACCUCUUUUGUCAGGGAGCAACGCCGGCUACGUGUAGCCGGACUGAGAGUACCUGAAGAAAAAGCAUCGGCUAACUCCGUGCCAGCAGCCGCGGUAAUACGGAGGAUGCGAGCGUUAUCCGGAUUUAUUGGGGUUAUAGGGUGCGUAGGCGGAAUGCCAAGUAAGCGGUAAAAUCGCGGGGCUCAACCGCGCUCCGCCGUUGAAACUGGCGUUGUUGAGGGGGCGAGAAGGAUGCGGUAGGCGUGGUGUAGCGGU
This 347-nucleotide ribosomal RNA is filed under the name uncultured bacterium. Its description in RNAcentral is "partial 16S ribosomal RNA". It matches the Rfam family "Bacterial small subunit ribosomal RNA", at positions 338 to 682 of the family's 1533-position model. The record is from RNAcentral.